RNAcentral lists this unclassified non-coding RNA (354 nucleotides) under soil metagenome. RNAcentral's name for it is "partial contains 5.8S ribosomal RNA, internal transcribed spacer 2, and large subunit ribosomal RNA". The stretch from base 1 to 120 matches the Rfam family "5.8S ribosomal RNA", at positions 35 to 154 of the family's 154-position model. The record is from RNAcentral.
GAUGAAGAACGUAGCGAAAUGCGAUAAGUAGUGUGAAUUGCAGAAUUCAGUGAAUCAUCGAAUCUUUGAACGCACAUUGCGCCUCCUGGUAUUCCGGGAGGCAUGCCUGUUCGAGCGUCAUUAAAAUCACUCAAGCUUAGGUUUACCUAUUGCUUGGUCUUGGAGAUGGAAGCCAAUUUAUUGGAAUCCUCUUCGAAAUUCAAUGGCGAAGACCCUUGCUCUCCCAAGUGUAGUAAUAACUUAUGUCACUGAAGGAAGCGAGAAAUCUUCUGCCGUAACCCCCAUAUUUUCUAUGAGUGACCUCGGAUCAGGUAGGGAUACCCGCUGAACUUAAGCAUAUCAAUAAGCGGAGGA